This is a non-coding RNA of Chiloscyllium plagiosum (whitespotted bambooshark), 383 nucleotides long. Lineage: Eukaryota; Metazoa; Chordata; Chondrichthyes; Orectolobiformes; Hemiscylliidae. The record is from RefSeq and is a predicted model, not a curated record.
UGCUCUAUUGUAAGGUACUGAAAGGGUGGAUUUGCGGAUGAGAAAUUCAAAUUGAACUUCAUGUUCAGAUCUGAUCGUUACUUGAUCCGUGCCGCUCUGAAUAUCAUUGGCCUUUUCAUCUGGAAGGAAAGAGACAGGGAUCCAGUGGCUGUAUGAGGACUGCAACUCCCAAAUUCCGAGGCAGGGACCACACGUCUGUGGGGAAACCUGGCAGUGCACAAUUACAGAAUGUGGGGUGCUAGAUGGUGAAGAUUUGCAGACUGAAAUCUCAAAAUCAUAUGCAGAUUGUGAUUAAGUUAAACAACAUUUGAAGAACCAAAGAUAGAGAAUCACUCGGCCAAAAUCCUGCAACACUCUACCUCCCAGCAUUUUCGGUCUAUCUG